Molecule: unclassified non-coding RNA, 395 nt
Filed under: soil metagenome
Description: partial contains 5.8S ribosomal RNA, internal transcribed spacer 2, and large subunit ribosomal RNA
Rfam family: 5.8S ribosomal RNA (bases 1-120)
Source: RNAcentral
GAUGAAGAACGCAGCGAAAUGCGAUAAGUAAUGUGAAUUGCAGAAUUCAGUGAAUCAUCGAAUCUUUGAACGCAUCUUGCGCUCCUUGGUAUUCCGAGGAGCAUGCCUGUUUGAGUGUCAUUUAACUUCUCAACCAGACAUCAGAUUAUCUUUUGAUGCUUGGCUUGGAUCUGGGGGUUGUUUGCAGGCCUUCUUGUUCAAGGAGGUCGGCUCCCCUGAAAUGUAUUAGUGGUAUCUGAGGCUAUUGCUAUUAGGUGUGAUAAUUAUCUAUGUCUUUUGGCAUGCCCCAUGAACAGAUUACACUGCUUCCAACAAAAAAAAAACAAUUUUGAUGAAUUUGACCUCAAAUCAGGUAGGACUACCCGCUGAACUUAAGCAUAUCAAUAAGCGGAGGA